This is a long non-coding RNA of Ictalurus punctatus (channel catfish), 1276 nucleotides long. RefSeq lists it as uncharacterized. The record is from RefSeq and is a predicted model, not a curated record. The transcript is spliced from 4 exons. Lineage: Eukaryota; Metazoa; Chordata; Actinopteri; Siluriformes; Ictaluridae.
CAUCAUCAUUUCAUAUCAACAGAAAAACCCAAACCGACUGUGAGAGUGAGUCCUCAGAGCUCCGUCUACACUGGAGACAGAGUUACUCUGAACUGUAAUCUGCUGUCUAAUGGAUGGACUUUUCUCUGGUACAAAGAUCGAGUCCAAGUAGCUGAAGACACCGACACACUCCAUGAUACAGUCUCUAAUGCAGGAGAAACAGUGUAUCAGUGUAAAGCACGCAGAGGAAACUACGACUCAGAGCUCAGUGAUCCAGUUACAGUUACAGUUAGAGUUCUAUCAGAUAGAAAAGCUCCACUGUCGGUACUGAAGCUCCUCAGCAGUGCAGUAGCGGCCUCUCCGUAUGUGCUGGUGACCAUCAUUCUGGCAGUGAAGUGUUACAGAGCUCGAACUGACCCUGACGAGGACAACAGACCGUACAGAGUGAUAGAAGCUGAAGCGUCUGUCUGAGUCUCAGGGAACAGACGUGAGAAAUGCGACGUGACAAAAGAAAGAACGACUCGGAUCGGGAGGUGAGGUGAACUAACAGACUGUAUAGCCUGAAGACCUAAUGAUAAGCUAUUAAUUAAUCAUUUCUGUUUCUCAUAAUUUGGCCUUGGCUGCAAUAGCCUAUUUUUAUAUUUUAUUCCAAAUGUGAUCAACGUUUGUGCAAGUACUAGAUGUGUUGGUGAAUUUAACAUGUAAUAUUUUAAUUAUAUUCUGCUGAAAUGAAAGAAAUGACUUGAAAAAAGAUUUGUUCAUUUUGCUGAAGGAGAUUCAAAGACCCGAGUCAGUAAAAUGGUCCGAACUUCCCAUCACUACUGCUCACUGCAGAGCCAAAUAGAUGGAGCUGGACGUCUAGCUCCACCUCUAUUGAUCUAGUCUAGUAAUUUAUGGAUCUAGUCUAGUUCCACUUCUAUGGCUCAUUUCGCCAUCUACUGGUUGUUAACGUCAAUGCAAGCCCUUCAUUAGAUCAAACUUACCUAAUGGGGAAAAAAUGUUGAUUGAUAAUGCACGAAGGUUAGGUCAAAGUAACCAUGAGACUUGCAUGGAACUGGAGAUGCUGGCAUAGCUAAUAUUGCCUUAUCUCUAACAUUUUUCAUGAUUUCAUGAAUUGAAUUUUCUGCACUGUUUCUGUGACAAACUGCAUGACUAGACUACUUUCUUUUUCCCCACUGUAUUAAGGUUAUGUAGGCUAUUUGUGAAUUUCCUAAGUCAUAUGUGAUUCAUUAAUGUAAUAAAGUGUGCUCCUAAUAUGCUCUUUGCUUUUAAACAUGGGAACUGAGUUACCCUUGCA